CCCCCCACAUCGGUGUACUAAGCUUGCGCACUUGGUUUGUUUCCAGAUGUCUUGUCCUGUGCUGAUGCUUGUUUACCGUAAUAUUUUUGUAGCUGGCUAUGAUUGCAAAGGUUAUAAAACAAUGCUAACUAUUUACAAUUCGUUUUGUAUAUGUGUUUAGAAUAUCUAACUGAAUUAGUGUUUAAUAGUUUUAGUACAAAUGUAAAAGUUUUAUUUUCGUAUUUCAUAAAAAUAUAAUAAAAGAACUAAGAAAGUCAUACCCAGAAAAUAUGUAUUAAUUCUAUUAACAAUUUAAAAAUAUAUUAUUUAUUUAAGACUACUAUCUUACAAGACUUAAAGCAGUAGUUUUUCCAGGUUAAAUAUUCAGAAACAGCAUCAAACUGUGUGAUAAAUAUAGCAAUAAGCACCAUAAACCCCAAAGUAUCUCUAGAAGAAUUUUAAAAAUGUGUUGUUAUAGGGUCUGUAAAGUAAAUUGUUCGAGACAAAAUUUAAUUGUGCUUUUUAUGUACUUGCCUUUUUGCAUUUAAGUAAUAGUUAAAUGAUAAAUUGAAUUACAAACGUAGUAUUAAUCUUAUAUCAGCUUUUAUUUGUUGUUUUUUAUAUUCAAGCAAUUAAAUAAUGCUUGAAUUUAACUACAGUUUAUCAAUUAAUUUGGUAUGAAUUAUUUUGUCGAGCAUGCUGGACCUUCCUGCCUCUAUGAUUUCUUGCAAUAAAAAGACCAACACAACAUUACAAUAUUGCACUUUUGCACAUGAAAUAUACAUCAUACACUCCUCCUCAAUAUACCUGGAAUUUGUGUAACUCUUUGUUCUUCCUGUUUUACAAAUUAAUAAUAAAGUAUUUAAUUACUGGGGUUUUUCAGUAAAAUUGAACUUUUAUAUAUGUUUUAAUAUCUUACAGUCCAAUAGUCAAUAAUCCUGACUCCCGAUUAUUAUGGAGAUAAAUUGAAGAAAACUAUUAUAAUUACGUACAUGAAAUUUAUAUAUGAAUCAAUUAUGGUGUUAUAUUUGCAUUAAUAUUGCUCUUUAAAAUUAGAGUUAAGUUAAUUAAAAUCUACAAUUAUUCUUAGAUCUAUUUGGAGUGGGGUUGUGUUUGGAUGUUCAUUGUUUGUAAGUAAAUAUGUAUAUAUGUUUGUAUUAUCAUUCAAUAUGAUUUUUACAGAUUCGAAUUAGAAAUACAGAUUUACAAAACCAUUUAUAUAUAUAUAUUAUUCUUGACACUAUUUUCAUCCUAAUAGCUAAUGUUAACAAUUGUGAAAAAUCAAACGUUUACUGCAAAGAUUUUGUACUACAAGGCUUUGUUGAUGCGUGUUUAUAAUUUGUUUGUGUUUAUUGAAUAACAUGAAAUAUUGUUUGUUUUUGUUUUACUAACAGUAUUUAUGUGUUUAAUUAUUUAAAAUACAUUAUUUGGUUGUAUUACUUUUAACCCUUCAAGGCGGGAGUAUUUAAAUGCAAGCCGGACCCUACUGCGGGACUAUUUUCCAGAUCGCACCAUAUUUUCGCAAGCUUUUACAAAAACCUUUAUUUCUCGGGCUGUAGACACUUUAUCAACACAAUUGUUUUACCAAAUUGUUAAGAAAUGCAAUAAUUAAAUGCAAUAACACUCCCGAAAAUAACCUCACUCUAACCAAACAAAGAUAUAUAUACCCAACACGUUGCUGCACAUUUCACAAUAACCUACAUUAUAAAUGUAAGUUAUACACACUCCUACGUGAUUCUAAAGUUACAACACUGAUUGGGAUAACUAUAAAAUGUAGCUUGCCAUUAUAUUAUUCAACAAAAUAGUAUUAAAAACACAAGACAACAAUCACAGAACGCAUUGCAUAGCAACAAGUUGCACCGGCGCGAACGAACUGAGUACGCAUAAUGUCAAGGUCAGAUGCUCAGUUUUGUAAACAAUACAGCUGUCUCUGUCGCACUCAUUUUCGACUCCAAACAGCUGCAAAAGAUCGACCAACUCAUAGACAACGUAUUCCAUAUAGCCCGAGUCCGAUAUAGUUCACCAAAAUAACGACAGGUUUCACCACAUGACGGAAUGUCGUGUCAUGACGUUAAAUACACGUCAAACCGCAGCUGACUACACUUUUGGGAUGACGUUUUAUACACGUCAAACCAGCUUGAAGGGUUAAAUAGCACUAAAGCAAAGUAAAAGAAAUUAUUUUUAAAGACAGCUUUCAAAAUUUUUAAAGAAUUGGUAUAUUUUUUAUUAAAGACUCUACAUGUUAUACUUAAAAUCAAGUCACUGUCUGUCCAUCCGUCUGUGUGUUUGUCCCUAUGUCCAAUAGCUCUAAAUUGAUUUUGAUGUCAGAAGUUCAAAAUAAAGGUUGGAAUAAAAUUGUAACAGUUUUAUUUUUGUCUUAUAAGUAACAAUGGUAACAACAAGCAAAUAGCUGAAAAGCAAAUGUGUUCACAAACUGAGUACAAUCACAUGACAUUUUAUCAUGUGACAUAGUUAUACAUGUGAAUUGGAAGUUAUUUUGUUUGAAAAUGUUGGUUAGACUUAUUUUAGUUUUGCUGAGUUCUAUGAUACUCCAUUUUAUCAGUUUAUGCAAAGAGAAGAUUCUUUCUAUUCCUUUGUAAUGUAUGAAAAACAAGAAUAAUUAUUAAAACUCUGUAUUGGUCGCAUAGAACAAUGAUCAUAGUAUUUUCCAUUCAGUUAUUUAAAGUAUAUUAUUGUAAAGGCUGUAUCUAUGUACAGUAUUUUGUUGCAUCCUAAAUCCAAGGGUGGAAUCAUUAGUUUGUGUAUAACAGUUUGGGCUGUUAGGAGCGUGGCAGAAUUACAUGAGGUUAUUCUUUUUUACUCACCAAAAGAUGUAAAUCAUCAAACAUUGUACUCUCUGUAAUCUAAAUUAUUGUGUAGAAAUAGCCUUUAUAUAAUGUCCUUAAUGCAGAAAUUGACCAAUAUUUUUUAUAAUGUCUCUUUACAAAGUUUUAGGUAUAUGAAAACAAUAUGAAGAAACAUUUAAAAGCUGUAGUUCAGACUGUUUAUUAAGUUAUUUUUUAGUGCAGAAAACGGCAAACUGCGGGAAAACGUUUAACAGUCACAAACUUUUUUUACCCAAGCUUAAGUUUAGUUUUGUAGUGUUAGUUUGUACUUUGCCUUAAGUGCAUUUUGAUGUGCAAAUAAAAUUCAAAGCCCCCAUACACGAUCUGACCAAUCCACAGACACAAUUUUAAUGUCGUUUUUAUCAUUUUUUGUGUUAUCCGACCUUUUCGCUUAUCCAAUCUUGCCGCGGCUGGUUUAGGAUGGAUAAUUGGGACUCUGCUGUAUUACUUAAUUAUCACUGGUUUUUAUAUGGGCCUUCUACUAAUUCAAGUUUCCAAUCUACCUGUUUCUUUUAGUUGUUUAUUUGUUUUCAAUAUCAUUUUUGAUCAUUUUUUUAAUCCGGGAUUAUUAUUGUUUGACAUCUUCACACUAUCUCAUUAUAUAUUCUUGGUUUAUUUAAGUUUUUGUACAAAAGUGUUUUUUUAAACAUAUAAUGAUUUUAGGAUUUAAAAUAUUUUAGGGCUUAUACCUCAUGUUAUAGGCGGAGAUUUAUAUUCACUGUCGGCAGCUAACCCAUGUGCCCUCUUAAUAAUACAUUGCUGAUGAAAUAAAUAGAGAUUACAAAUUGAAAACAAAUAGUUCAAAAAUAGUUAUAAAAAUUUUUGCAUUAAUAACAUAUGUGUACUUAUUAUUACUUAAAAAAAACUUCCACUGGCAGGCAAAGUAGUGAGUGCUAGCUUGUGAACUGGCUAAGACACUGAAAGGGUUAAUACAGUUUUGGCUACCCUGGGAGAAUAAUUUUCCAACUGUAUCUUACUGCUGUUUGUGAGGGUUAAUAGAUUGAUCGUUUGAUUGUUGGGAGUUUUAAACUAUAAUCUGUUUUAUUAAUGUUUAAAUGUAUGGUUUCUGGAGCUUCACUUCUUGUUUACUGUGUAAGUUGGUCCUUGUCAAAUUCAAAAUGAUUAAUUUAUAUUUAGUAAAGGGUUAUUCUUUUCAAGGCCAUUCAGUGAUUAAAUGUUAACUCUCUUCUUACAAAAUAUUAUGUUUCAUUUCCAUAAAUAAAAAAGUUAUAGCUCAAAUAUAAAUUUCAAUCAGUUUAGAAUUGUG
RNAcentral lists this long non-coding RNA (4092 nucleotides) under Homalodisca vitripennis (glassy-winged sharpshooter). RNAcentral's name for it is "uncharacterized LOC124360167". The record is from RNAcentral. Lineage: Eukaryota; Metazoa; Arthropoda; Insecta; Hemiptera; Cicadellidae.